UGUCCGUCCGUCCGUCUGUCACACUUUUCUUCCCUGAACUCCUCCUACAUUUUACACAGUAGCUUAAUCAUCUUUUGGGAGAUGGUUGGUGGGGUCAUGUAGAUGUGCAGUAAGGUUUUGGAAUUUUGAUUUUGCCCCGGGGGGUCAAAUGGGGGUCGAAAAUGAUGUUUUUUAUGCAAAAAGCCCCGUCUUCCCUGAACUCCUCUUACAUUUUAUUCAGGGGCCUAAUCAUCUUUUGGGAGAUGGUUGGUGGUGUCAUGUAGAUGUGCAGUAAGGUUUCAGAAUUUUGAUUUUGCCCUGGGGGGUCAAAUGGGUGUCGAAAAAUGACUUUUUUAAUGCAAAAAGACCCUUCUUCCCUGAACUCCUCUUACAUUUUACUCAGCAGCCUAAUCAUCUUUUGGAAGAUGGUUGGUGGGGUCAUGUAGAUGUGCAGUAAGGUUUUGGAAUUUUUAUUUUGCCCCGGGGGGUCAAAUGGGGGUCGAAAAAUGAUGUUUUUUAUGCAAAAAGCCCCGUCUUCCCUGAACUCCUCUUACAUUUUACUCAGGGGCCUAAUCAUCUUUUGGGAGAUGGUUGGUGGUGUCAUGUAGAUGUGCAGUAAGGUUUCAGAAUUUUGAUUUUGCCCUGGGGGGUCAAAUGGGUGUCGAAAAAUGACUUUUUUAAUGCAAAAAGACCCUUCUUCCCUGAACUCCUCUUACAUUUUACUCAGCAGCCUAAUCAUCUUUUGGGAGAUGGUUGGUGGGGUCAUGCAGAUGUGUAUUAAGGUUUCUGAAUUUUGAUUUUGCCCCAGGGGGUCAAAUGGGGGUCGAAAAAUGACGUUUUUUAUGCUAAAAACCCCAUCUUCCCUGAACUCCUCUUACAUUUUAUUCAGCAGCCUAAUCAUCUUUUGGGAGAUGGUUGGUGGGGUCAUGUAGAUGUGCAGUUAGGUUUCGGAAUUUUGAUUUUGCCCGGGGGGUCAAAUGAGGGUCAAAAAAUGAUGUUUUUUAUGGAAAAAGCCCAGUCUUCCCUAAACUCCUUUUUCGUUUUAAACAGUGGUCUUAUCCUCUUUUGGGAGAGUUCACUCUUUUGAAAUUUUUUUAAAACAUCAAGGUGAAGGGGUAAAAAAUCAUAGCAUGUUGGGAAACAUCUUGUUAUGGGUAAUGUUCACUUGAAAUGUGAAAGUCGAAUCUCUUCUCAAUGAAAAGGAAAUACAACAUUAAUGAAAACUAAGUUAAACUUCAAGGUCAAGGUCACAGAGUCAAAAAGUCAUGAUACAUUUGGAAAGGUCUUAUCACAGGUAAUAUGAAUGCCCUUUCAUUUAUCUUUCAAAAUGAUCAAUUUAAAGCAAUUAAUUUGUUUAUGAAAUUAGGUCAAACUUCAAGGUCAUGGGUAAUAAAAAUCAUAGUGUAUUUAGAAUGGUAUUGUCCCAUUUAAUACCAAUACGCAUGUUUAAUAUAAAAGUCCUGUCUCUUCUCAUUCAAAAUAUAUGACCAUAUGACCAAGGUUAAAUUUAUUGUGACAGAUGGGCAGAUUGACAAACAAAUGAGAUUUAAUGUACCCUACCUUUAGCGAAAAUGGGGGACAAUAAAUGUCUUUGCUGUUCUUAAGAAGAUUUAUGUUGGAAUAAGUCCCCUGCAUAUUUAAAUGUAAAUUGGUUGAAAUUGGCCCAGUGGUUCUUAAGAAGUUAAUGUGAAAAGUUUGCAGACAAACAGAUGGACAACAGAAAUCAGUACAUUUCAGAAAACAGUAUGCUUAUAAAUAGUUAAUCAAGGUGCUUUGGGUAGCAAAAUAAAGCUAAACUGGUAUAUCUAAUUCAUCCGCAGAGCUUAGUAUAUUUUAAUAUGCACAACCUUUUCAACUCUUAUCAUAAUUAUUUUUUAAAAUUUAUAUCACCAUGUCUCAUUCAAGGGAGAACUAGAGAUAUGACCAGAUGUAUAUCUGUUGAAUAUAAAAUAUGUACAUGUA
Long non-coding RNA from Saccostrea cuccullata (small rock oyster), 1941 nucleotides. RefSeq lists it as uncharacterized. Lineage: Eukaryota; Metazoa; Mollusca; Bivalvia; Ostreida; Ostreidae. The transcript has 2 exons. The record is from RefSeq and is a predicted model, not a curated record.